AUUCGGGUUCCUCGGAUUAAAAGGGAAGCCUGUGAAAAUCAGGAGCUAUUCCCGUAGCUGUAAAGUUCUACCCCCACUCUCUGUCUCAAUGCCACUGACAAAUUCUCCGAUUGUCGGGAAGGCGGCAGAGAACAGAACAAGCCAGAAGACCUGCCCGCAUCG
RNAcentral lists this non-coding RNA (162 nucleotides) under bovine gut metagenome. The record is from RNAcentral. RNAcentral also lists the same sequence under 1 other name.